Molecule: ribosomal RNA, 429 nt
Filed under: Verrucomicrobiota bacterium
Lineage: Bacteria; Pseudomonadati; Verrucomicrobiota
Description: Verrucomicrobia bacterium partial 16S ribosomal RNA
Rfam family: Bacterial small subunit ribosomal RNA
Source: RNAcentral
UAGGGAAUCUUCCGCAAUGGACGAAAGUCUGACGGAGCAACGCCGCGUGAGUGAAGAAGGAUUUCGGUUCGUAAAACUCAGUUGUUAGGGAAGAAAAAAUGUAUAGUAACUAUAUACAAAAGAGACGGUACCUAACCAGAAAGCCACGGCUAACUACGUGCCAGCAGCCGCGGUAAUACGUAGGUGGCAAGCGUUGUCCGGAAUUAUUGGGCGUAAAGCGCGCGCAGGUGGUUUAGAAAGUCUGAUGUGAAAGCCCACGGCUCAACCGUGGAGGGUCAUUGGAAACUAAUAAACUUGAGUGCAGGAGAGAAAAGUGGAAUUCCUAGUGUAGCGGUGAAAUGCGUAGAGAUUAGGAGGAACACCGGUGGCGAAAGCGGCUUUUUGGCCUGCAACUGACACUGAGGCGCGAAAGCGUGGGGAGCAAACAGG